AACGCACCUUGCGCUCCUUGGCUAAUCCGGGGAGCAUGCCUGUUUCAGCCUCAUUAAAACCAUCAAGAUUUCGUUUUUUUUUUUAAAAAGACGGUAAUUUUGGAGUUGGGCCAUCUCGAAAAUGAAUAAGAGAAUUUUUUCUUUUUUUCAUCCGAGAGGCUUGAAAUUGAGGCCCUGGGACGUCGGUGACCCAAAGCGACAAAUAGUGAUGGUCUUUGUUGAUCCUCUCCUCAUCCGCUAGGUCUUAUCCGAUGAAUUUCUGGGUUCGGUUGCAGGAAAAUCCAGAGGGGUUCGUCCUCUCUACAAUCCUUGAGCUGAAAUCAGGCAAGAUUACCCGCUGAACUUAA
This 347-nucleotide unclassified non-coding RNA is filed under the name uncultured soil eukaryote. RNAcentral's name for it is "sequence contains 5.8S rRNA gene, ITS2, 28S rRNA gene". The record is from RNAcentral.